UUCCUCUGCUAUGGAGAUAAACACAAUAUUGCCAUGCAAGUGUUUUUAGUUACUAUGUGCCAUUAUGUGUAAACUUUUUCACACAAGUCUUGGACCGUGUAGCCUGAUAGAAACAUAUGGGUCUGUACUAUUGUCGGAGAGGUCCCGCCCUCACGUGAACUGUAGGCUACAACAGAGAAGGAUACUGUCUCGUUGCAAGACGGCCUUGUUUGUGUUACCUAUAGGCUCCACCUGCCAUGAGAACAGCUAAGCUUCCUCAACGCGAAAAUGCCCCGUUUUCCUUUGGAAUGUGCGUGUGACGAGGUCCAUCUUUUAGGAAUGUUAAGCUAUUCAAAUGGGCGUAAAUUAUGAAACCUUUCGAACACAUUCCUUAACUUAAAUGAGACUCAACGAAGCCAAUUCAGUGCGCCUAAAAUAGAGUUAAGCGCAACAACCCCAUCCCUGAACCCACACUUAGUGUUUACACCCUUUAUUGUCGGCUGAAGGUAGGACAAAGACGCACUGGCUGUAGCGCAGCAGGCGACUCUCUACAAGUUUAUUUCUUCCCCUUUAAAAAAGCUGCAGCCCUAGCGGUGAUCACUGGAGUCUAUCGGUUCCUCAGGAAACUCUGCGGAGAAGAGAAUGCACUAGCUGCACGAGAAACAGGGAUCAUGGCGGCACCGCUCGGGCGGGACACUCUACCUGACCACUGGUCGUACGGAGUCUGUCGAGAUGGCAGGGUCUUCUUCAUCAAUGAUAAAACUCACAUCACUACUUGGCUCCAUCCUCGUACGGGUGAACCUGUCAACUCCGGACACAUGAUACGAUCAGAUUUACCUCGAGGAUGGGAAGAAGGUUUCACAGACGAAGGAGCCAGCUACUUCAUCAAG
Long non-coding RNA from Osmerus eperlanus (European smelt), 869 nucleotides. RefSeq lists it as uncharacterized. The transcript is spliced from 3 exons. NCBI's taxonomy places the organism in Eukaryota, Metazoa, Chordata, Actinopteri, Osmeriformes, Osmeridae. The record is from RefSeq and is a predicted model, not a curated record.